This 463-nucleotide ribosomal RNA is filed under the name Vreelandella stevensii. RNAcentral's name for it is "partial 16S ribosomal RNA". It matches the Rfam family "Bacterial small subunit ribosomal RNA", at positions 338 to 795 of the family's 1533-position model. The record is from RNAcentral. Lineage: Bacteria; Pseudomonadati; Pseudomonadota; Gammaproteobacteria; Oceanospirillales; Halomonadaceae.
CCUACGGGUGGCUGCAGUGGGGAAUAUUGGACAAUGGGCGAAAGCCUGAUCCAGUCAUGCCGCGUGUGUGAAGAAGGCCUUCGGGUUGUAAAGCACUUUCAGUGGGGAAGAAAGCCUUGGGGCUAAUACCCUCGAGGAAGGACAUCACCCACAGAAGAAGCACCGGCUAACUCCGUGCCAGCAGCCGCGGUAAUACGGAGGGUGCGAGCGUUAAUCGGAAUUACUGGGCGUAAAGCGCGCGUAGGCGGUCUGAUAAGCCGGUUGUGAAAGCCCCGGGCUCAACCUGGGAACGGCAUCCGGAACUGUCAGGCUAGAGUGCAGGAGAGGAAGGUAGAAUUCCCGGUGUAGCGGUGAAAUGCGUAGAGAUCGGGAGGAAUACCAGUGGCGAAGGCGGCCUUCUGGACUGACACUGACGCUGAGGUGCGAAAGCGUGGGUAGCAAACAGGAUUAGAUACCCCGGGUC